This 975-nucleotide ribosomal RNA is filed under the name Ralstonia solanacearum. RNAcentral describes it as "bacterial SSU rRNA". It matches the Rfam family "Bacterial small subunit ribosomal RNA", at positions 29 to 1001 of the family's 1533-position model. The record is from RNAcentral. Lineage: Bacteria; Pseudomonadati; Pseudomonadota; Betaproteobacteria; Burkholderiales; Burkholderiaceae.
AGGAAGGUGGGCGAUGCUUAAAUGCAAGUCGAACGGCAGCGGGGGUAGCUUGCUACCUGCCGGCGAGUGGCGAACGGGUGAGUAAUACAUCGGAACGUGCCCUGUAGUGGGGGAUAACUAGUCGAAAGACUAGCUAAUACCGCAUACGACCUGAGGGUGAAAGUGGGGGACCGCAAGGCCUCAUGCUAUAGGAGCGGCCGAUGUCUGAUUAGCUAGUUGGUGGGGUAAAGGCCCACCAAGGCGACGAUCAGUAGCUGGUCUGAGAGGACGAUCAGCCACACUGGGACUGAGACACGGCCCAGACUCCUACGGGAGGCAGCAGUGGGGAAUUUUGGACAAUGGGGGCAACCCUGAUCCAGCAAUGCCGCGUGUGUGAAGAAGGCCUUCGGGUUGUAAAGCACUUUUGUCCGGAAAGAAAUCGCACUGGUUAAUACCUGGUGUGGAUGACGGUACCGGAAGAAUAAGGACCGGCUAACUACGUGCCAGCAGCCGCGGUAAUACGUAGGGUCCAAGCGUUAAUCGGAAUUACUGGGCGUAAAGCGUGCGCAGGCGGUUGUGCAAGACCGAUGUGAAAUCCCCGGGCUUAACCUGGGAAUUGCAUUGGUGACUGCACGGCUAGAGUGUGUCAGAGGGAGGUAGAAUUCCACGUGUAGCAGUGAAAUGCGUAGAGAUGUGGAGGAAUACCGAUGGCGAAGGCAGCCUCCUGGGAUAACACUGACGCUCAUGCACGAAAGCGUGGGGAGCAAACAGGAUUAGAUACCCUGGUAGUCCACGCCCUAAACGAUGUCAACUAGUUGUUGGGGAUUCAUUUCCUUAGUAACGUAGCUAACGCGUGAAGUUGACCGCCUGGGGAGUACGGUCGCAAGAUUAAAACUCAAAGGAAUUGACGGGGACCCGCACAAGCGGUGGAUGAUGUGGAUUAAUUCGAUGCACCGCGAAAAACCUUACCUACCCUUGACUUGCACUAACGAAGCG